AUUGGGUGAGGGGGACGUCGAUGUCAUCGCAGUGAAACUGAAACUACAGCAAAAAUUUGAUUCACUGGUCUGAAGUGACUUUACUCUGAAGUGGAUUUUCAGUACAAGAGAGGAAAGUAUGGCAUACAUGGAUGGAUUUGCAGAUGACUUCUGCUCACUUUUUGAAUCCUAUUUGGAGUGUGACAUAAGGAGCGGUAGUAGGAUGUACAUCAUGUACCAUGGUACCACAAAAACAGCCGCAUUAAAUAUUAAAAAGCAUGGAUUUCAGCG
Molecule: non-coding RNA, 270 nt
Organism: Paramormyrops kingsleyae
Lineage: Eukaryota; Metazoa; Chordata; Actinopteri; Osteoglossiformes; Mormyridae
Source: RefSeq, a predicted model, not a curated record